This 468-nucleotide ribosomal RNA is filed under the name uncultured bacterium. RNAcentral's name for it is "partial 16S ribosomal RNA". It matches the Rfam family "Bacterial small subunit ribosomal RNA", at positions 28 to 507 of the family's 1533-position model. The record is from RNAcentral.
GACGAACGCUGGCGGCGUGCUUAACACAUGCAAGUCGAACGGAAAGGCCCUGCUUUUGUGGGGUUCUCGAGUGGCGAACGGGUGAGUAACACGUGAGUAACCUGCCCUUGACUUUGGGAUAACUUCAGGGAACUGGGGCUAAUACCGGAUAGGAGCUCCUGCUGCAUGGUGGGGGUUGGAAAGUUUCGGCGGUUGGGGAUGGACUCGCGGGUUAUCAGCUUGUUGGUGGGGUAGUGGCUUACCAAGGCUUUGACGGGUAGCCGGCAUGGGAGGGUGACCGGCGACAUUGGUACUGAGAGACGGCGCAGAAUCGUACGGGAGGCAGUAGUGGGGAAUAUGGCAGAAUGGGCGGGAGUCUGAGGCAGCAGCGCCGCGUGCGGGAUGACGGCUUUUGGGGGGUAAACCGCUUUCGACUGUGACGAAGAGUGAGUGACGGUAAUGGGUAAAGAAGCACCGGCUAACUACGUG